AGAAUGAAAGAUAUAAUUAAAAUAAAUUGGAUAGAGUCAGGUAAGAAUAGUAGUAGGCAUAAGGUUCAAAUAAAGCAUAGUAUAUUUAUAAAUACAUUUUAUAAUUCUUUAUUUCAAAUCCAUUAAGGGUGAUAUAAAUUUAUUCGUCCGGGAUUUAUUUGACUCGCGCUGUUAUAAAGCGUAGGGAAAUAACUGGUGAUUGGUCACCAUGGGCCAAUCAGGAGCUCGUAUUGUGAACUGCUGACCCGACCUUGAAAGUUGUAAACAACAACACACAUGUGUAAUGGCUGCGCCCAUGAAAGAACGUGAAUCGACUGAUAUUUCAUCAAAUUUACGCUGUAUUAUUCAUUACCAAGGAUUUAGAAAGGAACGAGAACAAUUAUUUACAAAAUCUCGCUGGGAUAAAUUCCGUGAAUGUGCCCAUGAAUGGCUAAAACUUGAUGGGCGAGCGAAAUGGAUAGCUGAACAGGCGACUUCGGGUGAUAUAAUCAAACAAGGAAUUUAUCGACGCGCCAAAAGAUACUGGAUUUCACCCAACAUGCUACAGGCCUUUUACAGACAAAUUCCGAAUUGGGUCUGCCCGUAAUCGUAUAGAUAAAGAAAAAUUAAAAUCCCCGGCUACAAUCCAACCAGGGAAUAGCGGGAGUGUAGACGAUCUGGGACCUAGCUCUCCAAACAAAUUACGCUCCUGAAGCAAAAAGAAAGAGUAAAUCGGUGCUGCCUGUUGUUUGUAUUAUAUGUAAAAAACGUGACAGAUUUGUCACUGUUGGAGAAAAUAGGAAGAAGGAUGUAUUAACACAGACUCAGACCCAAACAGGCUCAGGCCAACUGUUGAAAGCUGCUGAAUUGAAAGAGGAUGAAGAUAUUUUAAGGCAUAUCAGAGGGCAAGAUUGUGUGGCCAUUGAGGUCAGAUAUCACCAAAAAUGUUAUAGGCAAUAUACAUGUACUGAAUUUCUUAGACAGUUAUCAGAAAGCAAAGAUGACUAGCCCUCCGUCGAAUAUUAAACCACAUACAAUAUAUUCUGUGAAGAUGUCAUAAGAGAAAGAAUCAUAAAUGGCCAGCAAAGUUGUCUUGUACAGAGGGAGAGAAAUGGGGUUUAACGUCCACUCAACACAAACUAGGUCAUUUUGGGACUAACAUACGGUUUCAAUUUUAUUUCAAUAAUUCGCUUGCACGUAUGGGUCUUUAGCAGUGAGAGGAAACCGGAGUGCCCGGAGGAAACCCACGAGGUUGAGAAGACGCCUCUAUCUCCAUGCCACAUACGCUCACACCUGGGAUCAAAGCCACAGCCACAAGCCAGAGGUGACCGACCAGCUAGAGGUCGAAGCGCGGCACUCUAGGCCAUCCCAACCCCCCUUUCUUGUACAGACCUGUGCAUGUGUAGUCAAUGUGAAAAUGAAAAAAAAACUGUUAAAGAGACCGAAUUUGAUGUUAAUACAUUUAGUGACAGUGAUGAUGAUAAUGAAGAUUAACUUUGAUGACAUUUGAUGUGCAGAGUAACUGUUUAAUUUUGAUUUUCAAUGAUUGUUUCACUUUAAUAAAUAAUUUCACAACUGUUCAUCCUGUUUUCUAACCUUUCCCUUCAUUCCAGCCCAGAUACACAAUUAUUUUUUUUAACUUAUAUCUACAUGUAUGUUUGUAAUUUGACCAUUAAUCAUAUCCGAAAUAGUAGUUCACAGCUACAUGUACAGUUGUAAAAAUACUGUAGUGGCUAAUUGAAAGGGAACAUGUAUGUGGGUUUAGAAUGUUUAUCUUAGUGGAAAAAAAUCAUGUGGUUCAAUGCUUAUAAAGUGCUACUGAUCUCCAUUAUUUCAAAAGCAUAUCACUCAACUACUGUCAAACAUAUCCCCUGGCUAGAAUAUGCUACAAAUCGGCUCUAGCAUGUUCCAUACAAGCGAUAAUUUCUGAGCAAACAUCCAACAACCAACCCUAACAGGCCCUUGAGAUCCAACAAACAAAAUAAUUAUUGGGCUUGUUUGCCCACACCUGGUCUUAUGAUUCAUACAAGACCUGAUAGUCUAUCAAUUACAGGCAUUUGACAGAAAGGGAGAUAAUUCUUUUUUACCGUUAAUGGAUUUCCACAAUUCUUUAUUCACCCAUGACAUUUGUGUUUUGAGCAUUUUUAUUUACAUCAAAAUCUGUCCAAUAAACUGUUCAUUGCCAA
This is a long non-coding RNA of Patella vulgata (common limpet), 2165 nucleotides long. RefSeq lists it as uncharacterized. Lineage: Eukaryota; Metazoa; Mollusca; Gastropoda; Patellidae. The transcript has 3 exons. The record is from RefSeq and is a predicted model, not a curated record.